GCGCCAGUAGCUCAGCUGGAUAGAGUGUCGCCCUCCGAAGGCGAAGGUCACAGGUUCGAAUCCUGUCUGGCGCACCA
RNAcentral lists this transfer RNA (77 nucleotides) under Rhodospirillaceae bacterium. Its description in RNAcentral is "tRNA-Arg". It matches the Rfam family "tRNA". Rfam says of the family: Transfer RNA (tRNA) molecules are approximately 80 nucleotides in length. Lineage: Bacteria; Pseudomonadati; Pseudomonadota; Alphaproteobacteria; Rhodospirillales; Rhodospirillaceae. The record is from RNAcentral.